GAUGAACGCUGGCGGCGUGCUUAACACAUGCAAGUCGAACGGAAAGGCUCCUGCUUGCAGGGGCACUCGAGUGGCGAACGGGUGAGUAACACGUGGGUGAUCUGCCCUGCACUUCGGGAUAAGCCUGGGAAACUGGGUCUAAUACCGGAUAGGACCAUCGUUUGGUGUCGGUGGUGGAAAGUUUUUUCGGUGUGGAAUGAGCUCGCGGGCUAUCAGCUUGUUGGUGGGGUAAUGGCUUACCAAGGCGUCGACUGGUAGCCGGCCUGAGAGGGAUUCCGGCCACAUUGGGGCGGAGGAAGGGCACAGACUACUACGUGAAGCAGGAGGGGGGAAUAUUGCACAAUGGGCGCAAGCCAGAUGCAGCGACGCCGAGUGGGCGAUGACGGCCGUCGGGUUGUAAACUCCUUGCGCCAGGGACGAAGCGCAAGUCACGGUACCUGAUUAAGAAGCACCGGCUAACUACGUG
This 466-nucleotide ribosomal RNA is filed under the name uncultured bacterium. RNAcentral describes it as "partial 16S ribosomal RNA". It matches the Rfam family "Bacterial small subunit ribosomal RNA", at positions 28 to 507 of the family's 1533-position model. The record is from RNAcentral.